Molecule: ribosomal RNA, 511 nt
Filed under: uncultured bacterium
Lineage: Bacteria
Description: bacterial SSU rRNA
Rfam family: Bacterial small subunit ribosomal RNA
Source: RNAcentral
AGAGUUGAUCAUGGCUCAGGAUGAACGCUAGCUACAGGCUUAACACAUGCAAGUCGAGGGUAGCAGGGUAGCAAUACCGCUGACGACCGGCGCACGGGUGAGUAACACGUAUCCAACCUUCCCAUAACUCAGGGAUAGCCUUUCGAAAGAAAGAUUAAUACCUGAUAGUACUUUUCAAGGCAUCUUGAGAAAGUUAAAGAUUUAUUGGUUAUGGAUGGGGAUGCGUUCCAUUAGAUAGUUGGUGAGGUAACGGCUCACCAAGUCUUCGAUGGAUAGGGGUUCUGAGAGGAAGGUCCCCCACAUUGGUACUGAGACACGGACCAAACUCCUACGGGAGGCAGCAGUGAGGAAUAUUGGUCAAUGGGCGAGAGCCUGAACCAGCCAAGUAGCGUGAAGGAUGAAAGGUCCUAUGGAUUGUAAACUUCUUUUAUAGUAGAAUAAAGUGAUCCACGUGUGGAUUUUUGUAUGUAUACUAUGAAUAAGGAUCGGCUAACUCCGUGCCAGCAGCAGC